UUCUCCUGCCUCAGCCUCCCGAGUAGCUGGAACUACAGGCGCCCGCCAUGAUGCCCGGCUCAUUUUCUGUGUUUUCAGUAGAGACGGGGUUUCACUGUGUUAGCCAGGAAAGUCUUGAUCUCCUGACCUCGUGAUCCUGACCUCGGCCUCCCAAAGUGCUGGGAUUACAGGCGCGAGCCACCGCGCCCGACAGCAGUUAUGAAGUUCUAAAAGCAAGUCUUAAUCAGGAAGUGUCCUUGAUCACCAACGGCUCGCCCAGGCAUGCUGGCUCUCUUCCACUUCCACCUUCCACCAUGGGAUGACGCAGUAAGAAGGCCAUCAGUAGAUGCCAGUCCCUCAACCUUGAACUUUCCAGACGCAGAACUUUAUGCCUCCAUUUUCCUCUGCUGCAUGGCCCCAGGAGAGAUUUUAAUUAGCUUUCUAACCUUGGUCCAGAUUGCACAUGCAAAUGGUAGAGGAUGCAACACCCCCGCUUGUGGAGCUGCCGCUUGUGUCUGGCAUGAAAAUUCACAAGAAGAGAGGAAAUACUGAGGAGAAAAUGGCAGAUUGUGUUUGCUGAAUUUGAUUGACGAAGAAGUCACCAUGAAAAUCACAGUGAACCAUUUGGAAAGCAAACUGCCAAAAAAUAAUAGUUAGUCAUGCUCUCAGGCUGGUUGUUUUGGCUGUUGUGGGUUUCUUGCAUUUCCAGAUGAUUGCAAAGAGCUGUUUCUCAAUUUCUGCAACAAGUGCCAGCUGAAAUUUUGGUACCAGUUUCAUUAAAUAUGUAGAACAAUUUGAGCCUGAGUGAGUUCUGUGGAGCCCAUACUACCUGCGAUUCAAGCCAGCAACCUUGGAAUCUCCCUGAACAAUUUCUAUGGUGUCCAAUCACAUUUGCAAUCACUCCCCACACUCAGUAGGUUCUGCCCCCACAUCAUUUCUUUUCUCUAUCCUCUUUCCCAGCUUUAUAAUAUGACUUAGUUCAAGCCCUAAUCACUGGAUUAUUCAAAGUCCCUUAACAGGUUAAUUCCUACUGUGAUCAACACUUUAAAGGAAGGCAAUAGGGCCAGGCAUGGUGGCUCACGGCUGUAAUCCCAGCACUUUGGGAGGCUGAGGCGAGUGGAUCACAAGGUCGGGAGUUUGAGACCAGCCUGACUAACACAGUGAAACCCCGACUCUACUAAAAAUACAAAAAAUUAGCCAGGUGUGGUCGUGGGUACCUGUAGUCCCAGCUACUAGGGAGGCUGAGGCAGGAGAAUGGCGUGAACCCGAGAGGCGGAGCUUGCAGUGAGCCAAGAUUACGCCACUGCACUCCAGCCUGGGUGACGGAGCGAGACUCCAUCUCAAAAAAAAUAAAAAAUAAAUAAAACAGAAAGGCAAUGGCUAUCCCAAAUUGCUGAAGCCUUUGCUAAAAGCACAGACAGAAAACAACAAUAUGGUGAUGUUUGUGUUAAACAAAUGUUAUUGAUUCUAGGACACAGGUCAGAUGGCAAAUAGUCAAACUCAAAUGUUGAUCCCAGGGGUGGCUGUAUCAUCACUAAGGCCAAAUCACAACUUUGACUGGUCUCAUGGGAACACAGAUCUUGGGUUUGGAAAGAGCACAGGCCUGGCCAUGGGAAUGGACACAGGGUAAUUUUAAGAUGACUAGAGGUUCCUCAAACCCUAAAAGUACCACUGAACCUUGUUUAAAGCUAAAAUGGCUCCUAAAUGAUAGACACGUUUCUCAGUUAUCUCUGCAAACUGAAGAUCCUAUCAGCCUGUUCAGGGUCUCACAGGCCUCUGGGUUUGUACAUGAUGUCCCUACAGUGGCGAUGGGGACUGAUGAGAGCCACCGUUCCCAUUGGAGGAGGGCAAGCUGCCACUGAGUGUCAGCUGCUGGAGUAAACAUCCAAUCACAUGUGUACCUGUAUCCUAUGGAUAUUGGCUUCCCCUCAUACAACUUGUUGUUCCUUUGUUUUCCAUUCCUGACUAUAUUUGAAUCUUUCUUGGAUUUCCAGGAAACAUCUGACUGCUUUCCUAUGCCACUUCAUACCCAAGAGAAGCUCAGGGAGAUCCUUUAAGGUCCUUUAUGCCCAUUAUGAUAGUACAUGAAUAGGUAAAUGUACCACUGCUCCCUGUACUUCUUGGAUAAUGCACAAAUAGUAAGACAGUCUCGCAACCAGCAGCCUAGACAGCCCAAAUAUGUGAAACCAAAACAGCUUGAUCUUCCAGACCUGUUCUGACUCCUUGAGUCUUAAAUCUCCAAGCCUCUUGAAUGUUUCACCCACAGCCUUCCCUUUGGGAUCUGGCAUGGGACAGGAAGGGCAGAGAAGGGCCUGGGGCUUUUCCUCAGGGAUCCACCACAGUCUAGGCCAGUGGGUGGCAAACUUUUUCUGCAAAGGAUCAGCUGGGAGAUAGUUUCAACUUUGUAGUCUCGUCGCAGCUACUCUACUCGACUCUGCCACUGGAGUGUGAAUGCAGUCAUGAAUAAAAGAAUGAAAGUUUUCCAGUGAAACUUUAGUCACAAAAACAGUCUGCAGGCUGUGUCUGGCCCGUGGGCUUUGGUUUGCUGGCCUGCGGGCUCCUAGAAGGCUCUGACUUUAUCCCUCUAUGAGGGAAAGCAGGUUUUGGGGUAUUCUCCCAAAUCUUUAUACCUUAUGUCUGUGUCUCUUUUUAAAUUAAAAGUAAAAUUUAGGCC
RNAcentral lists this long non-coding RNA (2653 nucleotides) under Homo sapiens (human). Its description in RNAcentral is "non-protein coding lnc-NETO1-1:2". The record is from RNAcentral. Lineage: Eukaryota; Metazoa; Chordata; Mammalia; Primates; Hominidae.